Molecule: long non-coding RNA, 214 nt
Organism: Medicago truncatula (barrel medic)
Lineage: Eukaryota; Viridiplantae; Streptophyta; Magnoliopsida; Fabales; Fabaceae
Exons: 3
Source: RefSeq, a predicted model, not a curated record
UAAGCAAGAAGAAAGUACUCAAAAAACAUUGCUUUGAGUAGAGACCAUGAAACACAAGGAGGAAGAUAAAGCUGAAAAGGUGUAAGAGAACUAGGGAGGGAGAAUUGAAAGGAGGAAAAAGUGUGAACGAAGGUUGGAGUUGUCCUUGACAUCAUUGAUAUUGGAGCAUAAGAGAGAUACAUAUGGAUACAAAAGGUAAGAAACCAGUAGCUCA